AAACUGAAGAGUUUGAUCAUGGCUCAGAUUGAACGCUGGCGGCAGGCCUAACACAUGCAAGUCGAGCGGUAACAGAUCUAGCUUGCUAGAUGCUGACGAGCGGCGGACGGGUGAGUAACGCGUAGGAAUCUACCGAGUAGUGGGGGAUAGCCCAGAGAAAUUUGGAUUAAUACCGCAUACGCCCUACGGGGGAAAGGAGGGGAUCUUCGGACCUUUCGCUAUUUGAUGAGCCUGCGUAAGAUUAGCUAGUUGGUAGGGUAAAGGCCUACCAAGGCGACGAUCUUUAGCUGUUCUGAGAGGAUGAUCAGCCACACUGGGACUGAGACACGGCCCAGACUCCUACGGGAGGCAGCAGUGGGGAAUAUUGGACAAUGGGGGCAACCCUGAUCCAGCCAUGCCGCGUGUGUGAAGAAGGCCUUCGGGUUGUAAAGCACUUUCAGAUGUGAGGAAAGGUUAGUAGCUAAUAACUGCUA
RNAcentral lists this ribosomal RNA (473 nucleotides) under Neptunomonas phycophila. RNAcentral's name for it is "bacterial SSU rRNA". It matches the Rfam family "Bacterial small subunit ribosomal RNA", at positions 1 to 478 of the family's 1533-position model. Lineage: Bacteria; Pseudomonadati; Pseudomonadota; Gammaproteobacteria; Oceanospirillales; Oceanospirillaceae. The record is from RNAcentral.